UUUUUUUAAUCUGUUGUUUACUUCCUUGCCAACUUCUCUGAACUGAAAUGCUCACUCUCAAGUAAUACAGACCUUAUUUCACUAGUCACCAGCAGGUCCACAGAAGAAAUUAAAACUUUUCAGACCCAGAUAGCACAAGAGUAUUCUUUUUCUAUUUGCCGAGAUAAAAUUCCAACUUUUGGAUUGAGAUCAUACUGUAAAAUGGCACAACCAUCAGACGAAGUGGGAGGAAGAAACAUUAACUUCAACAGCUGUUUCUUGACCCCGGCUGUCAGUCUUCCCAAGAAUAAAUUUUGGAGAGUCCUA
Bos taurus (domestic cattle) is the source of this 306-nucleotide long non-coding RNA. The record is from Ensembl. Lineage: Eukaryota; Metazoa; Chordata; Mammalia; Artiodactyla; Bovidae.